Molecule: ribosomal RNA, 501 nt
Filed under: uncultured bacterium
Lineage: Bacteria
Description: partial 16S ribosomal RNA
Rfam family: Bacterial small subunit ribosomal RNA
Source: RNAcentral
AUUGAACGCUGGCGGAAUGCUUUACACAUGCAAGUCGAACGGCAGCACGGACUUCGGUCUGGUGGCGAGUGGCGAACGGGUGAGUAAUACAUCGGAACGUGCCCAAUCGUGGGGGAUAACGUAGCGAAAGCUACGCUAAUACCGCAUACGAUCUAAGGAUGAAAGCGGGGGAUCGCAAGACCUCGCGCGAUUGGAGCGGCCGAUGGCAGAUUUAGGUGGUUGGUAGGGUAAAGGCCUACCAAGCCGACGAUCUGUAGCUGGUCUGAGAGGAUGAUCAGCCACACUGGGACUGAGACACGGCCCAGACUCCUACGGGAGGCAGCAGUGGGGAAUUUUGGACAAUGGACGCAAGUCUGAUCCAGCCAUUCCGCGUGCAGGAUGAAGGCCCUCGGGUUGUAAACUGCUUUUGUACAGAACGAAAAGGCUCUGGUUAAUACCUAGGGCUCAUGACGGUACUGUAAGAAUAAGCACCGGCUAACUACGUGCCAGCAGCCGCCGUAA